CAGGGUGGCAUAAAAAUGGAAGAGCAGGGACCCAGGAGACCCAUUCAAAGGGAGAGACUGGAUUGCAAAGGAAAGAAACCUCCUGCCGGCCAAGUUGGGACCAUCAGGGAUCUUCUGCCUCGGGCAGAUUUAUGUCAAAUUAAGCAGGAGCCAGAGGAGGGGCAGCCGCAGCAGCACUGGGAGGCCCAGAAGCAGGAUUUCCUGAAGACGAUGCAGCCCCCUCGUUCAGGGUGGGAAACCCCACAGGCUCCCAGUCCUCCCCACUCUGGGGAUGGUGUCCUCUCCUUCAGGGGAGCUGCAGAUGCCAGUCGGUGGCCCAGUGGGAGAGCAGGGGGGACAGACCAGACCCUGCUCCCAGACACUGAGGGGCUUCUGGGAAAGGAAGCUGCAACUGGCUCUGGAUUCUGCGCUCCUCAGGAAGCUGAACCUGCAAACCUAGCUGAGUCUGAACCUGCAACCCUGGCCAGGAUGGAAGGAGGAAGAUGGACGGUUGACCUGGUCAGGCUAUCUCCCGCAUCCCUCCCCACAACCUCUGAGCAUUCCCUCCCAGGACCCUUGGAGAAAUCUGGUGAGUUCCAGGGGAGAGGAGAUGGGGAGAGGGAUAGAUGGAAGGUGGCGGGAGAAAGAGGAAAAGAUGGAGAGGAGACAAAUGGAAGGAAGUUCCUGACAGGAAGAAGGAAGGGAUGAGGCCUUCUGCAAAGCAGCUCUUUGUUUCUUGAAUCCUUUUCCUAAAGUAGUGGGGGCAGAUUUUCUUCCUCCAGGCUUUGAAAUCUUAGGUGUUAUUUCCACGGCAGGAAUAAUUGAUGAUAAUGAUGUUGCACACCAAUCCUGAACAAUGGGUGAAGGGGAAUGGAAAUGUUUCCCAUAAUUAUUUAUAAUUAAUAUACAUAAAUUGUUUCUAUUACUCUUAUUGUUUAUAGACAGGGUCAGAAUGAUACAUCCCACCAGCAUCAAAACACAAUAAAUGCAUGCAGCUCCCCAGUUUGGUGGGCUUAAGGGACAAAGGACCAUUUAUCAUGAUACACAAUUCCUGUGGCUGGAGGCUCUACACUUAGGAUUGGGUAUAUUAAGUCCAAGAGUGUCUGGUAUUAUAAGCAAAUUGUGUAAAUCUUACAGACUGGGGUUGUUGAGAGUCAGUGAGUGGGAUAAUAAUUUAUAGCGCCACUGUGAAAAGGCUUGGUUCUCCCGCACACACGUGAGACAACUCCAGUAGUAAUUAUCUCAAACUCAUAAAUCACUGUGGAGCUCAGUCUUCGGCCUGUUCAACCCAGCUUGCAGUUGCCGAGUCCUCCAGCAAAGAA
Molecule: long non-coding RNA, 1301 nt
Filed under: Podarcis muralis (Common wall lizard)
Lineage: Eukaryota; Metazoa; Chordata; Lepidosauria; Squamata; Lacertidae
Description: lncRNA (ENSPMRG00000003606.1)
Source: RNAcentral